Rhododendron vialii is the source of this 2196-nucleotide long non-coding RNA. RefSeq lists it as uncharacterized. The record is from RefSeq and is a predicted model, not a curated record. NCBI's taxonomy places the organism in Eukaryota, Viridiplantae, Streptophyta, Magnoliopsida, Ericales, Ericaceae. The transcript has 4 exons.
UCUGCCCCUGCCAUGUAAGGAACCAUGACUCCUUACCAGAGAGUCAGCAACUGCGUUUUCAUUUUUGACACAAGGGAUGCAUGGCAUUUGUUUGUUUGAAGAUCUUAGAGUGACAAUUAAUGGAGUCGAAGCCAAGACCUCACAUCUAAAGUGAGGCUACACGACCAGCAAGGCUAAGGCCAUGGGCUCAACUAGGUGCAUUUCACAUGGUUCUUUUUUUGUGAAUGUGAAGUCUAGGUUCAAGUUUCCCCCCUCCUUUUUUGAUCAGCCCUCUCCCCUCCCCUUUGUUAGUAAAUUAUCUGAUGUUCUUACAUGUACACGAAAAAAGGAGGUUUUCAUAUUGUAGCCUUCAGUGUUUGGUGAUAUUGCGAUACUAUUUGUUUUCUGCUUUUGGUUGUGUAGGUUGUUUGGUGAGGUGAAGAAAAUGAAGGCUGUGAAGUUCCUGUUAUGGGUUCUUUGUCUACAUAUAGUCUCCCUCGCUGGGAUUGAUGGGAGUCCAGAGACCUGUCCCGCUAACAUUAGCAGUGGAUGUGGAGAUGACUGGGAAGGGGAAUUUUUCCAAACGCAUCACAUCUUACUCAAAGUCAGUAAGCUUUCCCCUCUGGCUGGUUUGUUCCCACCAACCUCGGACUAUGUUCCUAUUGACUUUAGAUUUUUCGACCGAGACUUUACAAAGCUUAUGAAAAGCAACUUCGGCACUACCGAUACCAGAGAAAAAUCUAAAGUCAACAAGAAUAUAGUCCGGGAUUGGUGAGAACAAACCAACCAGAAGGAAAAGCUUAUUGACUUUGGCACUAUCGAUACCAAAGAAAAAUCUGAAUAUUGAUACAUUUGAUACAGUGUUGCAUCAUAUUGAUACAUUUGAUCAAAUAUCGAUGUAUUUGGCUCAAAAUGUAUCUAUAUAUCAUUGCUGCAUCUUAUUGAUACAUUGGAUCAAAUAUUGAUAUAUUUUGCUCAAAAUGUAUCUAUUUUCAUGAAUUUCACUACCUUGAGCUCCUGAAUUUCAAUAGGAUAGAGCUUUUGAUUUUCACUUACCUGAAAGCACGUGAAUUUCACUUGGUUUGAGCUUGGAUUAUAACUUUCCUUGAAGCUCUUGAAUUUAAUUACCUUGAGCUCGUGAAUUUCAAUAGGUUAGAGCUUUAAAUUUUUACUUAACUUGAAGCUCGUGAAUUUCACGACCUUGAGGUCUUGAAUUUCAUUACCUUCAGCUCAUGAAUUUCACUAGGUUAAAGAUCUUGAUUUUCACUUACCUUGAAGCUCGAGAAUUUCACUAGUUUAGAGCUUAGAUUUUAACUUACCUUCAAACUCAUGAAUUUCAUUACCUUGAGCUCGUUAAUUUCACUAGGUUAGAGAUCUUGAUUUUCACUUUAACCUGAAGCUCGAGAAUUUCACUAGUUUAGAGCUUAGAUUUUAACUCACCUUCAAGCUCGUGAUUUUCAUGCAAGAUAGAUAUAUUUGAUGCGAGGAUGUUGAUGAGGGCUUGGCUGCCGACAAGUUGGAAGGAGAUGACUUCGAAAGGCAACGACUUCGAAUCCCUCAUCAUCCAAGGAAAUGCAGUGCCAAUGCACCAGCAGCCAUGCCCCACAUACAUGCAGGACACAUGGUCAAACAUUUCCGACCCCUCUCCGCCAUUGACAACCGGAAGUGAAGUUGGAUGGGACGGGAGAUCAGAUUUAAUUUUUUCGUGGGACAGCUUUUCUCUUCAAAAGAUGAGUUGCAAUGUGCGGUGAAGAGGUACUUCAUGCUUAGGAACAAUCUCACCAGGACAGAUAGAUCGUCCCCCAAGGCCUUGGUUUUCAAAUGCAAUUACACAACCCUCUGCUACUGGAAAUUCUUACACUAUUUAGUCGUCAGCUUUGCUUUUUCGAGGUCCAUCCUUCCAAGUUUCAUGAAUCAUAAUUGUAAGACUCCGGAGAGAGUAAUUACACAGCGGCCAAGAUCCCUGUGAAGUGGUGUGUCCCAGCACAUCUUAAAUUUUCGAGGGCCCCAUGAACGCGAUGAUGGACUUAAAAAGACCUUACAAGUUACAAGCAGCAGUUACAAAGUCUGGGGGAAAUUCCAAUUUCCCUACACUGGCAUUUGUUCUGUAGCUGUAUUCGCAUGGUUAUAUUUGCCAUUGAUUUACCCUCCUAAAACACCAAGUGUUUUCGACGUUAAAAUCCAUCAAAUCCAAAAUUAUUCGCUGUGUUUGGUUCA